CGAACCCGGCCGCACACAUGCCAGGCGAGCGCGCUACCGCUUGAGCCACAUCCCCAGCCCUAAAGAUGAACAUUUACAAGUUACCAGUUUUAAUUUUUCUCCAUGCCAUCUCAGUUUUCAAUCAAGCAAGUUCAAGAAUCAGAUAAUAACCAUUUAGGGGCCAUGAAUCUCUUCAUAGGGAAACCAUAGUUUUGUAUCCAAAUAUGAUCCUUAAUGUGCAUGAAUGUUCACACAGAAGUACCUUAACAGAGUUUGGGAUUUUAGAAAUACUUGAUGUUUUUUGUACUUUGGAAUUUUUUAAAAUGUUUUCUUAUAAUUUGAAUUCUAUAGCUUAAACUAUGAUGAUGUUUUUGGCAACUGAGGAAAAGAAGGGCAUUUUUAAAAUCUAUUAGUAGAACUGGGCAUAGUGGUGCACACCUGUAGUCCCAGUUAUUUGGGAGGUUAAGAUGGGAGUAUCAAUUGAGCCCAGGAGUUUCAGGUCAGCCUGGGCAACAUAGACCCAGCGAAGAGGGCGGAUAUUCUCCAGUACUAUGUGCUAGGGGUGGACAAACCAGCCUAGGCUUCAUUUUGUCACAUAAACACUCUAGAUAAGGGUUCAGCAAAUGUUUUAUGUAAAGGGACUGGUCAUAAAUAUUUUCUACUUUGGGGGUCAUGUUGCCUUGUUGUAACUAUUUGACUCUGCUAUUACAAUGGAAAAACAGCCAUAACAAUUAUGUAAAUAAAUGGAGUGACUGUUCCAAUAAAACUUUAUUUACAAAAACAGGCUGGUGGACUGAAUUUGACACAGUUUGCUGGCCUCUACACCAAGUUACUGAUCUAAAAAAAUGUUUUGCUGAUGUCAACAUGACUCGAAGUGUCAAUUUUCUGUAAUCUGAGCACUUCUCUGGUAAUUCUCCUGAUUUACCAUCAAUGUUUUUUCAGGGUGGGCAAGGGAAAUCAUCUGUUUAGAGGCAUGUAUGUUGUCUGUCUGCACUUGGAAAAGCAUUAAUGAGAAGCUUCCUGAAUGGGAUAGUGAACAGAGAAGGAAAUGGAUCCAGGUCAUUUUAAUGUAGUUCUGUUCUGUUUCAGUUCUUUACCUCUCUUUUUUUUUUUUAAUAUUUAUUUAUUUUUAGUUUUCGGUGGACCCAACAUCUUUGUAUGUGGUGCUGAGGAUUGAACCCUGGCCGCACGCAUGCCAGGCGAGCGCGCUACCGCUUGAGCCACAUCCCCAGCCCAGUUCUUUACCUCUUGAGGAAAAAGUCUAGAAUGAUUCUCCCAAUGUGUCCCCAUUUGCUUUUCUCAUCUGAUCCUAUUCCUCUUCCCUCCCAAGAAUCUGUCUUUGAGGUUAGCUGAGAUUACAAUUUUGGGAUAUAUAAUUAGUUGCCACUUAAGACAUUCUGUUUUUGAAAACUGUGACCAAAAGUGACUUUGACUUAAAGGUUCACAGAUUCUUAGAAGUGUGUUUGUGAGAAGAUUGUUAAUUGCUGUCAUUCACUUUGAUUACUGGUUGUCUUUGAAUUCCUUAGUCAGACAUAGAGUAUGGACCAGGCAUGGUGGUACAUGCCUGUAAUCCCAGCUACUCAGAAGGUCGAGACAGGAGGAUUGUAAAUUGGAGGCCAGCCCAGGCAAUCUAGCAAAACCCCGUCUCAAAAUAAAAGGUCUGGGGAUAUCACUUAGUGGUGGGGCACAGUCCCCACCAUGGCAAAAAGAGAGAGAGAGAGAGAGAGAGAUUGAUUAUAGAAUUUGUUAGUCUUUUGCCUUAUCAACUUUCAGUCUUCUUAUAAUAUGCAAGGAAAAACUUUUUGGAGAUUUGUGGGGAGGGUGACAAAAUCUGCAAAGCUUUGACCCUGCUUGCCUGGAAUGAUAGCUAAGAGGAGUGGAUUUUUGCAGAGAGAAACUGAAAUCCUGAUACUUCAACAAACUUUAAGGAAGAAAGUGAUGAAAGUUGACCAUAUGUCAGAGUAAACUCAUGUAAGGUAUGGUAAUUGAGCAUGGGUUCACACAACUAAUUUUUUGCCAAGUAAGCAAAAUCAGAUCCUUAAUUGAGACUAAAGGUCUACUC
This 2041-nucleotide long non-coding RNA is filed under the name Marmota monax (woodchuck). The record is from RNAcentral. Lineage: Eukaryota; Metazoa; Chordata; Mammalia; Rodentia; Sciuridae.